UCAAUGUUAAUCAGAUCAGGGUUAGUCGGGUCCUUAGACGAACCCGAAAGGGGUAGUUGAUGGCAAGUCGUUUAAUAUUACGACACCUGCUUUAGAUUCGAUGGGGUGACGGGGUAGUGAACAGUCCGCGAUCUUACGGAAUAGAUCGUUAAAGGGUGUAGAUAUAGGUUGAGUAGGCAAAUCCGCUCGACUUGUCGAACCUGAUAGUACAGCAAAGCUUCGGCAGCGCUGAUAGUGACUCUAAUCAGACCUCCGAGAAAAACCUCUAAGUUAUGUUUAAAGCAGCCCGUACCGCAAACCGACACAGGUGGGUGGGAUGAGUAUUCUAAGGCGCUCGGGUGAGCCUUGGAGAAGGAACUAGGCAAAUUAACGCUGUAACUUCGGGAUAAAGCGUACCGAUUUCGGUCGGUCUCAGUAAAAUGGUACAACCAACUGUUUAGCAAAAACACAGGGCCCUGCAAAAUCGAAAGAUGACGUAUAGAGCCUGAUACCUGCCCGGUGCUGGAAGGUUAAGGAAGGAUGUUCGGCGCAAGCCAAAGCUUCUGACUGAAGCCCCAGUAAACGGCGGCCGUAACUAUAACGGUCCUAAGGUAGCGAAAUUCCUUGUCGGGUAAGUUCCGACCUGCACGAAUGGUCUAAUGAGUUGUACACUGUCUCCUCCAAGAGCCCGGUGAAAUUGUAGUAUCGGUGAAGAUGCCGGUUACCCGUCACGGGACGGAAAGACCCCAUGAACCUUCACUACAACUUUGCAUUGAUUUUGAAUUUUUGAUGUGUAGGAUAGUUGGGAGACUUUGAAGUGGUGUCGCUAGGCAUCAUGGAGUCGUCGUUGAAAUACCAACCUUUAAACAUUUAGAAUCUAAUCCCUAACGGGAAACAGUGCAUGGUGGGUAGUUUGACUGGGGUGGUCGCCUCCUAAAGUGUAACGGAGGCUUGCAAAGGUUCCCUCAGUACGGUUGGUAAUCGUACAUAGAGCGUAUUAGUAUAAGGGAGCUUGACUGUGAGACAUACAUGUCGAGCAGGGACGAAAGCCGGCUAAAGUGAUCCGGCGGUUCUGUAUGGAAGGGCCGUCGCUCAAAGGAUAAAAGGUACUCUGGGAUAACAGGCUGAUCUCCCCCAAGAGCUCAUAUCGACGGGGAGGUUUGGCACCUCGAUGUCGGUUCGUCACAUCCUGGGGCUGGAGAAGGUCCCAAGGGUUCGGCUGUUCGCCGAUUAAAGUGGCACGUGAACUGGGUUCAGAACGUCGCAAGACAGUUCGGUCCCUAUCUGUGAUGGGCGCUAGUAAAUUGAGAGGAUAUGACUUUAGUACGAGAGGACCGAGUCGUACGUUCCGCUGGUGUAUCUGUUGUGCCGCCAGGUGCAAUGCAGAGUAGCUACGAACGGACAGGAUAAACGCUGAAAGCAUCUAAGCGUGAAACCUACCUCUAAAAAG
RNAcentral lists this ribosomal RNA (1429 nucleotides) under metagenome. Its description in RNAcentral is "bacterial LSU rRNA". It matches the Rfam family "Bacterial large subunit ribosomal RNA", at positions 1359 to 2807 of the family's 2925-position model. The record is from RNAcentral.